This 382-nucleotide ribosomal RNA is filed under the name Chloropicon roscoffensis. RNAcentral describes it as "partial Bacterial large subunit ribosomal RNA". It matches the Rfam family "Bacterial large subunit ribosomal RNA", at positions 773 to 1153 of the family's 2925-position model. Lineage: Eukaryota; Viridiplantae; Chlorophyta; Chloropicophyceae; Chloropicales; Chloropicaceae. The record is from RNAcentral.
ACCGAACCCACGUCUGUUGAAAAAGACGGGGAUGACGUGUGGCUAGGGGUGAAAGGCCAAUCAAACUUGGAAAUAGCUGGUUCUCCGCGAAAUCUAUUUAGGUAGAGCGUCACGUGAAUACCCUCGGGGGUAGAGCACUGGAUGGGCUAGGGGGCCUCACCGGCUUACCAAACCUAACCAAACUCCGAAUACCGAGGAGUAAUGCGUGGCAGACACACUGCGGGUGCUAAGGUCCGUAGUGGAGAGGGAAACAGCCCUGACCGCCAGCUAAGGUCCCAAAGUCAACACUAAGUGGGAAACGAUGUGGGAGUGCUUAGACAACCAGGAGGUUGGCUUAGAAGCAGCCACCCUUGAAAGAGUGCGUAAUAGCUCACUGGUCAAG